Non-coding RNA from Curtobacterium flaccumfaciens, 112 nucleotides. The record is from Rfam. Lineage: Bacteria; Bacillati; Actinomycetota; Actinomycetes; Micrococcales; Microbacteriaceae.
UGGCACACACACGGGAGUCCGGGACCGCCGGGCUGAGAGGGAGCGAUCGGCGCUCCGACCGUCGAACCUGAUCCGGAUCAUGCCGGCGCAGGGAGGAGUCAGCAGCAUGCCU